GCAGGACUGCCCCGUCUCAUUGAAGCCUUCAGAGGCCAAAGGGUGUAUUGAUUUUUUCGGUCGUGUUCUGAACUGUUUGCGUUAGACCGGGAUCUGACUGGAGUUGCAUUAUCCUGUUUAGCAGAGCUGUUGGAAACAGCCGUUUUGAAGUGCUCCUCUGUAAUGCCCGUGAUGGCAAGCCACUGACCUGCCCCAGGGCCAGCUGGACAGGAAGUCCUCCGCAGGCGCUUAGUUGCUUAGUCACCAUGCUUUCUGUUUGUACAUGUGUUUGCCCUGGAAACACGGGCCACAAGAGAGAUCUGAUGUGGGCUUCUGAAGUAUUUUUAUUUCUGGGGUUCAGCUUCUCUCCCCGGCUCAUUCUGUGACGUGGUAGUGCUCCUCUGGGAGAGAAGCAGGUGAAGACGGCAGUCACUGGAUUCUUCCUCUGGACGUCAUGGCUGUGUCCUUGCCCGGUAUCCGUGACCCCAUGGGCUUAUCUGCUCCCCUGAGUGCUUGCAGAGAGUCGUCAGUGAGCAGUCAGCAGCCACCUGUAGGUGCCUUCCCAGAAUGCACCCUGACUGAACGCAAGCCUCCCUGCGAUGGCGGCCCCUGAGAUUCAGAUGAUCGUGAAAAUACUUGAUUCUGUCCAA
Molecule: long non-coding RNA, 629 nt
Organism: Mesocricetus auratus (golden hamster)
Lineage: Eukaryota; Metazoa; Chordata; Mammalia; Rodentia; Cricetidae
Exons: 2
Source: RefSeq, a predicted model, not a curated record